Molecule: ribosomal RNA, 1242 nt
Filed under: metagenome
Description: bacterial LSU rRNA
Rfam family: Bacterial large subunit ribosomal RNA
Source: RNAcentral
UUGGUGAAGGAACUAGGCAAAAUGGCACCGUAACUUCGGGAGAAGGUGCGCCGGUGAGGGUGAAGCAUUUACUGCGUAAGCCCAUGCCGGUCGAAGAUACCAGGCCGCUGCGACUGUUUAUUAAAAACACAGCACUCUGCAAACACGAAAGUGGACGUAUAGGGUGUGACGCCUGCCCGGUGCCGGAAGGUUAAUUGAUGGGGUUAGCUAACGCGAAGCUCUUGAUCGAAGCCCCGGUAAACGGCGGCCGUAACAAUAACGGUCCUAAGGUAGCGAAAUUCCUUGUCGGGUAAGUUCCGACCUGCACGAAUGGCGUAACGAUGGCGGCGCUGUCUCCACCCGAGACUCAGUGAAAUUGAAAUCGCUGUGAAGAUGCAGUGUAUCCGCGGCUAGACGGAAAGACCCCGUGAACCUUUACUAUAGCUUUGCACUGGACUUUGAAUUUGCUUGUGUAGGAUAGGUGGGAGGCUUUGAAGCGAGGACGCCAGUUCUUGUGGAGCCAAUCUUGAAAUACCACCCUGGCAACUUUGAGGUUCUAACUCUGGUCCGUUAUCCGGAUCGAGGACAGUGUAUGGUGGGUAGUUUGACUGGGGCGGUCUCCUCCUAAAGAGUAACGGAGGAGUACGAAGGUGCGCUCAGACCGGUCGGAAAUCGGUCGUAGAGUAUAAAGGCAAAAGCGCGCUUGACUGCGAGACAGACACGUCGAGCAGGUACGAAAGUAGGUCUUAGUGAUCCGGUGGUUCUGUAUGGGAGGGCCAUCGCUCAACGGAUAAAAGGUACUCCGGGGAUAACAGGCUGAUACCGCCCAAGAGUUCAUAUCGACGGCGGUGUUUGGCACCUCGAUGUCGGCUCAUCACAUCCUGGGGCUGAAGCCGGUCCCAAGGGUAUGGCUGUUCGCCAUUUAAAGUGGUACGCGAGCUGGGUUUAGAACGUCGUGAGACAGUUCGGUCCCUAUCUGCCGUGGACGUUUGAGAUUUGAGAGGGGCUGCUCCUAGUACGAGAGGACCGGAGUGGACGAACCUCUGGUGUUCCGGUUGUCACGCCAGUGGCAUCGCCGGGUAGCUAUGUUCGGAAUAGAUAACCGCUGAAAGCAUCUAAGCGGGAAACUAGCCUCAAGAUGAGAUCUCACUGGGACCUUGAGUCCCCUGAAGGGCCGUCGAAGACUACGACGUUGAUAGGUGGGGUGUGUAAGCGUUGUGAGGCGUUGAGCUAACCCAUACUAAUUGCCCGUGAGGCUUGAUC